RNAcentral lists this ribosomal RNA (257 nucleotides) under uncultured prokaryote. RNAcentral's name for it is "partial 16S ribosomal RNA". It matches the Rfam family "Bacterial small subunit ribosomal RNA", at positions 524 to 780 of the family's 1533-position model. The record is from RNAcentral.
UACGUAGGUGGCGAGCGUUAUCCGGAAUUACUGGGUGUAAAGGGAGCGCAGGCGGGGCGACAAGUCAGCUGUGAAAACUAUGGGCUUAACUCAUAGACUGCAGUUGAAACUGUUGCUCUUGAGUGGAGUAGAGGCAAGCGGAAUUCCGAGUGUAGCGGUGAAAUGCGUAGAUAUUCGGAGGAACACAAGUGGCGAAGGCGGCUUGCUGGGCUCUAACUGACGCUGAGGCUCGAAAGUGUGGGGAGCGAACAGGAUUA